CCUACGGGAGGCAGCAGUGAGGAAUAUUGGUCAAUGGGCGCGAGCCUGAACCAGCCAAGUAGCGUGAAGGAUGACUGCCCUACGGGUUUUAAACGUCUUUUAUAAAGGAAUAAAGUGAGGCACGUGUUCCUUUUUGUAUGUACUUUAUGAAUAAGGAUCGGCUAAAUCGGUGCCAGCAGCCGCGGUAAUACGGAGGAUCCGAGCGUUAUCCGGCUUUAGUGGGUUUAAAGGGAGCGUGGAUGGGUUGUUAAGUCAGUUGUGAAAGGUUGCGGCUCAACAGUAAAAUUGCAAUUGAUACUGGCAGUCUUGAGUACAGUUGAGGUAGGCGGAAUUCGUGGUGUAGCGGUGAAAUGCUUAGAUAUUACGAAGAACUCCGAUUGCGAAGGCAGCUUACUAAACUGCCACUGACAUUGAUGCUCGAAAGUGUGGGUAUCAAACAGGAUUAGAUACCCGGGUAGUC
This 460-nucleotide ribosomal RNA is filed under the name uncultured bacterium. Its description in RNAcentral is "partial 16S ribosomal RNA". It matches the Rfam family "Bacterial small subunit ribosomal RNA", at positions 338 to 795 of the family's 1533-position model. The record is from RNAcentral.